RNAcentral lists this long non-coding RNA (445 nucleotides) under Sorghum bicolor (sorghum). Its description in RNAcentral is "long non-coding RNA (SBIC_LNC011463)". Lineage: Eukaryota; Viridiplantae; Streptophyta; Magnoliopsida; Poales; Poaceae. The record is from RNAcentral.
GUCGUCCGUCAUCGAUCAGUGCGGCGUCAGUCGGAGAUGCUGAGCAUGGCGUAGCGGACGUACUCGUCGACGCCGCCCCGGCUCCCGCUGUGGCUCCAGGCGGCGCCGCGCGCCAGGGCGUCGUUGACCCACGCGGCGUGCGAGGCGAGCACGACGCACAGGACGGCGAAGGCCUCGGGAAGGUGGCGCGCGAGCGGCAGCCGCAGGUUGAGCGGCGCCGAGAGGUUGAACACCUGCAUGAGCCCCCUCGCCGCCACGAACGCAAGCAGGUGGAACCCCAUCGCGUCGAGGUCGAAUUCGAAUCGGCCAACACCGGGCCGCCCGCCGGCGCACACACAGGUCGCGGGAGCUCGAUCGCCUUGGUACAGUGGCUGCCGUCGUCGUCGUCGUCGUCUCCGUCUCUUGUUGGCAGCAGCUAGCGGGAAAUAAUAAUGCCUGCUGCCCG